GCGGCGUUUUGAUGCGGUUAGUUGCUGAAUGGCAAGGCGUUAUAGUUUGUGUUAUUUGUUCUUUAUUUCUUCUUUGAAUUGAAUUGGAUUUCCAAAUAUGUUACGUCUACCAAUAGGCCGCGAAGCGGUCGAAUUCGGUGAGCAUCACUGCGUUCCAGGGUGUGACUGUCAUUGCAUCCACGUUGACGGUACUUGCAUGAAAUAAUCAUUUAGGAGCAAUUAUUUAUCAAACAAUAUUUAUUUGGUUCCCAUUGUUUGGCAUUCAUUUUCCGUCACUUGUAAGAAAAUUUGUGGAAAAGCCAAAUAUGUUGUCCCUAUUGAACACAUUAAUAGUUAAUUUCAUCAAACGCUCCGGAAACUUAAACAUUGUUCGGAACUUGGUCCCAAUUGUAUUCCAUAUUUCUUUGUUAAGGACUGUCUGGCGCCUCUGAAUAAAUCAAAGUUUUGCGUUUUAUUUGCAACUACCGCCCGCCCCAGCUUCGCACGAACAUUAUAUUACACCUAAGUAAGUACAUUUUCACCACACCAACUGGUAAAGGCUUACUUUGCUAUUCGAAAA
Long non-coding RNA from Leguminivora glycinivorella, 559 nucleotides. RefSeq lists it as uncharacterized. Lineage: Eukaryota; Metazoa; Arthropoda; Insecta; Lepidoptera; Tortricidae. The transcript is spliced from 3 exons. The record is from RefSeq and is a predicted model, not a curated record.